UACGUAGGGGGCUAGCGUUGUCCGGAAUCAUUGGGCGUAAAGAGCGUGUAGGCGGUCCGGUAAGUCCGUUGUGAAAGUCAAAGGCUCAACCUUUGAAUGUCAGUGGAUACUGCCGGGCUAGAGUCCGGAAGAGGCGAGUGGAACUCCUGGUGUAGCGGUGGAAUGCGCAGAUAUCAGGAAGAACACCAACGGCGAAGGCAGCUCGCUGGGACGGUACUGACGCUGAGACGCGAAAGCGUGGGGGAGCGAACAGG
RNAcentral lists this ribosomal RNA (254 nucleotides) under uncultured bacterium. RNAcentral's name for it is "partial 16S ribosomal RNA". It matches the Rfam family "Bacterial small subunit ribosomal RNA", at positions 524 to 776 of the family's 1533-position model. The record is from RNAcentral.